GGUUUUACCAGGAUUCCUAUGACGGACGAGACUUUCUUACCUUUGAUAAGGAGACCAUGACUUGGGUAGCAGCAGAUAUUAGGGCUCAGAUCACCAAGAGGAGAUGGGAGGCUGAAGUACUUGAGAACCAGCGAUGUAAAGAGUAGGGGAG
This is a long non-coding RNA of Chelonia mydas (Green sea turtle), 151 nucleotides long. RefSeq lists it as uncharacterized. NCBI's taxonomy places the organism in Eukaryota, Metazoa, Chordata, Testudines, Cheloniidae. The record is from RefSeq and is a predicted model, not a curated record. The transcript has 3 exons.